AAUAAUUUAGUUUAAAUAAAACAAUAGUUUGUGGAACUAUAAAUUCUAACAUUAUAU
Molecule: transfer RNA, 57 nt
Filed under: Lycosa grahami
Lineage: Eukaryota; Metazoa; Arthropoda; Arachnida; Araneae; Lycosidae
Description: tRNA-His
Source: RNAcentral